RNAcentral lists this ribosomal RNA (497 nucleotides) under uncultured bacterium. RNAcentral describes it as "partial 16S ribosomal RNA". It matches the Rfam family "Bacterial small subunit ribosomal RNA", at positions 28 to 507 of the family's 1533-position model. The record is from RNAcentral.
GAUGAACGCUGGCGGCGUGCCUAAUACAUGCAAGUCGAGCGAACAGAUAAGGAGCUUGCUCCUUUGACGUUAGCGGCGGACGGGUGAGUAACACGUGGGUAACCUACCUAUAAGACUGGGAUAACUUCGGGAAACCGGAGCUAAUACCGGAUAACAUUUGGAACCGCAUGGUUCUAAAGUGCAAGAUGGUUUUGCUAUCACUUAUAGAUGGACCCGCGCCGUAUUAGCUAGUUGGUAAGGUAACGGCUUACCAAGGCAACGAUACGUAGCCGACCUGAGAGGGUGAUCGGCCACACUGGAACUGAGACACGGUCCAGACUCCUACGGGAGGCAGCAGUAGGGAAUCUUCCGCAAUGGGCGAAAGCCUGACGGAGCAACGCCGCGUGAGUGAUGAAGGGUUUCGGCUCGUAAAACUCUGUUAUUAGGGAAGAACAAACGUGUAAGUAACUGUGCACGUCUUGACGGUACCUAAUCAGAAAGCCACGGCUAACUACGUG